AACCAUAACAGUUGAAGAAGUAACUGACGAUGAUAAAGUUGUAGUUUAUUCUAAAAUGGAAUUCCUGAUCUUAAUUUUAUCAGCUCACGAAGCUCAUAAAGAAUGAAAUAAUGUGCAUACAUGAGUUUUGAAAACUUUAGAACACUAUGUAACAUCAUCAUCAUCACAUCAUCUUCAUCCUCAUAUAUUUGAUGUAAUUCAGAAAGAAACCACUUGGAGGAAAGGUUUAAGGUUUCCACACCUUUGAUUCAAAGAGAAGAAGAACCAGGCAACUACUUCAGCUGCAGUUCACUGUGGACAUCUCCUUUGAGUUGCAGAUGAAAGAACUGAGAGAUGAAAUGACACGCCCAUAGUCAUAUUUUAACGGUUAUUGGAGAACAAUUUCUGUCAGGUCACUUCCUGACCAGCUGGAUGCUAUGCUGCCUGCUUUUCAGUCUCCAUGUCCACCUAGCACUGAGAAUCCCAACCCUGUCACUAGGAUUGGUGAACAUGUCAUCAUAUCUUGCCCAGUCUCAGAACUACUGAGCCACUUCCUGGCCAUCUGCAUGCUAUGUCUGGCACUUGUAUUUCUUCCCUCUCCUCCCUCCUUCCAACAACAUAUCUAAGAACAAUAAAUAAAUUAACA
This is a long non-coding RNA of Phascolarctos cinereus (koala), 625 nucleotides long. RefSeq lists it as uncharacterized. Lineage: Eukaryota; Metazoa; Chordata; Mammalia; Diprotodontia; Phascolarctidae. The record is from RefSeq and is a predicted model, not a curated record.